GACCUCGCGCUAAAAUGAUUUGUCCUUUCGUGACGUCACCAAGAGUGGAAGGUGGGGCAGAACAAGUGAGUCUUCAGUCGUCAUCAAGGCGGUUCUUGUCGAGAGGUCUGACUUCUGCAUCCUGAUGCCGUGGGUAAACCAGCACCGAAGUCUGUCCACAGCCCUCUCCAGGUAGAGGUGAGAGUCCUGGAACGUUGAAUUCGGGUCCAGGCCGGUGGUUUAGUACUGGUCCACGACGUUGGGAUCCAGAUGACCUGAACAACCAGCAAAAGACAAUUGAGGGUGAGAAAACACUUUUUGGUCUUAAACCGCCGGAAGGGUUUAGAAGAAUGCGCAAAAUAGGUUAGAAGUAGCCGGAAUUACUUCAGGAAAUGCGCAAAGGUUGGAAGUAGCCGGAAUUACUUC
Molecule: long non-coding RNA, 405 nt
Organism: Oreochromis aureus
Lineage: Eukaryota; Metazoa; Chordata; Actinopteri; Cichliformes; Cichlidae
Exons: 2
Source: RefSeq, a predicted model, not a curated record